GCGGAUGUAGCCAAGUGGAUGAAGGCGGUGGAUUGUGAAUCCACCAUGCGCGGGUUCAAUUCCCGUCGUUCGC
RNAcentral lists this transfer RNA (73 nucleotides) under Caldesia grandis. Its description in RNAcentral is "tRNA-His". It matches the Rfam family "tRNA". From Rfam's summary of the family: Transfer RNA (tRNA) molecules are approximately 80 nucleotides in length. Their secondary structure includes four short double-helical elements and three loops (D, anti-codon, and T loops). The record is from RNAcentral. Lineage: Eukaryota; Viridiplantae; Streptophyta; Magnoliopsida; Alismatales; Alismataceae.